AUUGAACGCUGGCGGCAGGCCUAACACAUGCAAGUCGAGCGGAUGAAGGGAGCUUGCUCCUGGAUUCAGCGGCGGACGGGUGAGUAAUUCCUAGGAAUCUGCCUGGUAGUGGGGGAUAACGUCCGGAAACGGGCGCUAAUACCGCAUACGUCCUGAGGGAGAAAGUGGGGGAUCUUCGGACAUCACGCUAUCAGAUGAGCCUAGGUCGGAUUAGCUAGUUGGUGGGGUAAAGGCCUACCAAGGCGACGAUCCGUAACUGGUCUGAGAGGAUGAUCAGUCACACUGGAACUGAGACACGGUCCAGACUCCUACGGGAGGCAGCAGUGGGGAAUAUUGGACAAUGGGCGAAAGCCUGAUCCAGCCAUGCCGCGUGUGUGAAGAAGGUCUUCGGAUUGUAAAGCACUUUAAGUUGGGAGGAAGGGCAGUAAGUUAAUACCUUGCUGUUUUGACGUUACCAAAAGAAUAAGCACCGGCUAACUUCGUG
This 484-nucleotide ribosomal RNA is filed under the name uncultured bacterium. Its description in RNAcentral is "partial 16S ribosomal RNA". It matches the Rfam family "Bacterial small subunit ribosomal RNA", at positions 30 to 507 of the family's 1533-position model. The record is from RNAcentral.